AUGCCGGAUGCUCCAGUUGGAUGCAUGUCCUUCUGGGAAAGAUUCAUCGGUAUGGGAUGGGGUCGCGUCCUAUCAGCUUGAUGGCGGGGUAACGGCCCACCAUGGCUUCGACGGGUAGCCGGCCUGAGAGGGCGACCGGCCACAUUGGGACUGAGAUACGGCCCAGACUCCUACGGGAGGCAGCAGUGGGGAAUAUUGCACAAUGGGCGCAAGCCUGAUGCAGCGACGCCGCGUGCGGGAUGACGGCCUUCGGGUUGUAAACCGCUUUUGACUGGGAGCAAGCCCUUCGGGGUGAGUGUACCUUUCGAAUAAGCACCGGCUAACUACGUGCCAGCAGCCGCGGUAAUACGUAGGGUGCAAGCGUUAUCCGGAAUUAUUGGGCGUAAAGGGCUCGUAGGCGGUUCGUCGCGUCCGGUGUGAAAGUCCAUCGCUUAACGGUGGAUCCGCGCCGGGUACGGGCGGGCUUGAGUGCGGUAGGGGAGACUGGAAUUCCCGGUGUAACGGUGGAAUGUGUAGAUAUCGGAA
Molecule: ribosomal RNA, 525 nt
Filed under: Bifidobacterium adolescentis
Lineage: Bacteria; Bacillati; Actinomycetota; Actinomycetes; Bifidobacteriales; Bifidobacteriaceae
Description: bacterial SSU rRNA
Rfam family: Bacterial small subunit ribosomal RNA
Source: RNAcentral